Manis pentadactyla (Chinese pangolin) is the source of this 384-nucleotide long non-coding RNA. RefSeq lists it as uncharacterized. The record is from RefSeq and is a predicted model, not a curated record. The transcript is spliced from 3 exons. NCBI's taxonomy places the organism in Eukaryota, Metazoa, Chordata, Mammalia, Pholidota, Manidae.
ACAGGGGCUGGGCCAGGAGACAAGUCCUUGUGGUAAAUACAGUCCUGCUGUUAGUCGUCCCUCUUCUCUACCUUCAGACGCUGCCUGUCCCCCGACUUCUCACUCGGGGAGGUUCACUUUCAAGGGCAUCCUUCACAGAAUUGGCCAGAAGCCACAGUGGCAAAUCUCACUCCACUGUCCCGGGGCAAGGAAUAGCAUGUUCUGCUCUUGCCAACUGCUUGGUAUGGUGUUAACAUGAUUGACUGAGUCAGCUUUGUGCACAGCCAGUAAUCAGAGCAGAUUCCAGGAACUGGAUGUAAGCAAGUGAGAUGCUAUUUUUUAAUAUCUCAAAACAUGACUCCAUGGGAGAUGCAAGCAACAGGAGAAAGGUGAGUUAUUAUAAGC